Molecule: ribosomal RNA, 404 nt
Filed under: Actinomycetes bacterium
Lineage: Bacteria; Bacillati; Actinomycetota; Actinomycetes
Description: Actinobacteria bacterium partial 16S ribosomal RNA
Rfam family: Bacterial small subunit ribosomal RNA
Source: RNAcentral
UGGGGAAUAUUGGACAAUGGGCGCAAGCCUGAUCCAGCCAUGCCGCGUGAGUGAUGAAGGCCCUAGGGUUGUAAAGCUCUUUCACCGGUGAAGAUAAUGACGGUAACCGGAGAAGAAGCCCCGGCUAACUUCGUGCCAGCAGCCGCGGUAAUACGAAGGGGGCUAGCGUUGUUCGGAUUUACUGGGCGUAAAGCGCACGUAGGCGGACUAUUAAGUCAGGGGUGAAAUCCCGGGGCUCAACCCCGGAACUGCCUUUGAUACUGGUAGUCUUGAGUUCGAGAGAGGUGAGUGGAAUUCCGAGUGUAGAAGUGAAAUUCGUAGAUAUUCGGAGGAACACCAGUGGCGAAGGCGGCUCACUGGCUCGAUACUGUCGCUGAGGUGCGAAAGCGUGGGGAGCAAACAGG